AAAUUGAAGAGUUUGAUCAUGGCUCAGAUUGAAUGCUGGCGGCAGGCCUAACACAUGCAAGUCGAACGGUAACAGGAAACAGCUUGCUGUUUCGCUGACGAGUGGCGGACGGGUGAGUAAUGUCUGGGAAACUGCCUGAUGGAGGGGGAUAACUACUGGAAACGGUAGCUAAUACCGCAUAACGUCGCAAGACCAAAGAGGGGGACCUUCGGGCCUCUUGCCAUCGGAUGUGCCCAGAUGGGAUUAGCUAGU
RNAcentral lists this ribosomal RNA (252 nucleotides) under Escherichia coli. Its description in RNAcentral is "partial 16S ribosomal RNA". It matches the Rfam family "Bacterial small subunit ribosomal RNA", at positions 1 to 249 of the family's 1533-position model. The record is from RNAcentral. Lineage: Bacteria; Pseudomonadati; Pseudomonadota; Gammaproteobacteria; Enterobacterales; Enterobacteriaceae.